CCUCUCCUCUUCUCUCUUUAGAAGGUAUCUCUCCUCUCCUCUUCUCUCUUUAGAAGGUAUCUCUCUCCUCUCCUCUCUUUAGAAGGUAUCUCUCUCCUCGUCUCUCUUUAUAAGGUAUCUCUCUCCUCUCCUCUCUUUAUAAGGUAUCUCUCUUUUUUUCUUCUCUCUUUAUAAGGUAUCUCUCUCCUCUUCUCUCUUUAUAAGGUAUCUCUCUCCUCUUCUCUCUUUAGAAGGUAUCUCUCUCCUCUUCUCUUUUUAGAAGGUAUCUCUCUCCUCUCCUCUCCUCUCUUUAGAAGGUAUCUCUCUCCUCUUCUCUCUUUAGAAGGUAUCUCUCUCCUCUUCUCUCUUUAGAAGGUAUCUCUCUCCUCUUCU
RNAcentral lists this long non-coding RNA (372 nucleotides) under Salmo salar (Atlantic salmon). RNAcentral describes it as "lncRNA (ENSSSAG00000112384.1)". Lineage: Eukaryota; Metazoa; Chordata; Actinopteri; Salmoniformes; Salmonidae. The record is from RNAcentral.